This 76-nucleotide transfer RNA is filed under the name Gammaproteobacteria bacterium. RNAcentral describes it as "tRNA-Lys". It matches the Rfam family "tRNA". From Rfam's summary of the family: Transfer RNA (tRNA) molecules are approximately 80 nucleotides in length. Their secondary structure includes four short double-helical elements and three loops (D, anti-codon, and T loops). RNAcentral also lists the same sequence under 2 other names. Lineage: Bacteria; Pseudomonadati; Pseudomonadota; Gammaproteobacteria. The record is from RNAcentral.
GGGCCGUUAGCUCAGCCGGUAGAGCAGCAGACUUUUAAUCUGUUGGUCGUGCGUUCGAUCCGCACACGGCCCACCA